UGAUGCAACGGAACAGGGAUCUUUCGCCGGGCCGUGCGUAGAGGAAAGCCGGCGGCGGAUUGCAUCAGCUUUAAGGACAUGGAGUGACAACCUGGCAGAGGUCAACCUUCAGAAGAUGGGGCCUGUGUCACCUGUUUGCAAAAUUAGAUGUGGUGCCCAUUAAGAUAGUUGCAGAAGCUGAGGGCCUGCAGUACAGCAGACCUAUGCAUCUGAGGACGUCUAGGCCUACCCUGUAUGCUUUAAGCCCUGAGAUAAAUAUCUCCAUUCUAUCCUACUGAACAUGUUCUUCACAUCUAGAAAAGUGGAGAUGACAGUGUAAUUGGAAAGUCCACUCUCCUAAUCCUGAGCUGUACAGAGCACUGGCAGUUCCAAGGGGAGCUACAGGUGCUGAUCAGGCCCAAAACGGGAGAUCUCUAAAUGGGAGCUACAUUUCUCACCGAGAAAAGAACAAGUGGAAGAGACAGACUAGUGUGAGCAUGCAUUUCUCUGUCCAUAUGCAGAUGUUUUGCCAUAUUGGCAAUAUUUUGAGUUCCAUGACCUUCCACCCUGUGCCGUCGUGUGUCCCUGAGUGAACUGGAACCAAACAGCAGCAGAUGGAUGGGUAUCCUCACAUACAGGUAUGUACUCUACCCCAGCAACCCUUACUCUGGUACCUGUCUGCCUCUCAGAUGGGCAACCCUGUGGGCCUAGAGGCUGGAAUUUAUACUGCCUUGUUCCUAGGCAGAUUAACAGUCACAUGACCUGCCUUUAGCAAAAAGGGCACCAAAGGCUGGGGAAGAAGGCCCCAAACAUGGAUUCCCAACAACAACUAAGAGAAAUCCAAGAUGGCUAUGUGCAGAUAAUGUAAAAAUUGAAAAAUAAAGAAAGUUCCCCUACAGAAGGACAGGCAAUGAGCUUGAGCAAGUCCUGGGGAGGGUCAGCAGCAGAGUCCCUGAAGGACAGCAACAGCAGGCUGGGGAAGUUCUGUGGGUGCAGGGGUGGUUCCUUGUGGGGAAUGAGCUAGGGAUGGAGCCCAUGAAUGGCUUGGCUAAAGAGACCUGAGGAAGGUCAAGGAGGAGAUGAGCAACAUAAGCAGUAGCCAAGAGGAAAGUGAAGCUGGAGUAUAUGAGUAACAGGGACAGUUGCUUCUUGAGCCCAGCGUGGAGGGAGGGACUCAGCUCCCCCAUACCCAGCUGUGCCACCUAGAGGGGUGAGCUGCAGCUAAGUGGCAAAGGCCUUAUGACAGGGUGCGAGCUCAGUCCUCAGAGGGUUAAUGUAGCAGAUGCUAGGAGUAAGGACGCAGCUAGACUGCUUACCUGCUCCAUUACCCCAGGUAAUCUAAUGAGUGCAUCUGGGCCCCAGCUGAGCUGCCUGAUUGGCCUAACCCUCCGAUUGGCUGAGGGGAUCAGCAGACUUGCUCUGAAGGCUGCAACAGGUGAGUACUAGCUGCUCAAAGCAUUUGUCCAUGGUUAUGGUACCUCCUGCCUUGCUGUGUUACAGGUAAUCAGGUUCUGAUCUCUAAGUCUGGCUCUGACCCUGGAUGCCUAUUUCUGGCUGCUGACUCCUGCUCCAACCACUGUGACUGCCCAUGUCCCAGUCCCUGACAGUUAACUCUGACCUGUUAGAGGCGGUAGGGGAAAUCUAAAGGGCUGCCUGGGAGGUAGUAAAGGGAGGAAAGCUGGAUGUGAGUAGGAGCAUAGCUUACAGCUCUGCAUAAUUGUGGAGACUGGUGAUGGUAGUUGCUGCCUUUGUUUUGUUAGUGCUACUGCUUUUCUGUUGGCAGUCUGUCUACGUUCCCAUACUGGUGGCCUGACUGUUUUAUUUACUGCUGGGAGAUCAGUGUGUCAGCCCACUAGCAUCUGCCAGAAAGUGAAAUGGUCAAGGCAUCAGAACAGGCAAAGGACCUCCCUUACACCAAGGGGAGAAACUUUGUUGUGUAGGGUUGGACUUUUGACUGCUCUGUAAGGGGAAGACUUUUACUUUGAUUAGAGGGCCAAAGCACUAAAUCACUGAACCACCACAAAGAGACUGUAGACCACUGCUGGGAAAAUGAGGCACAUAACCAUCCAGACAGCAGAGGAAAGCUGCUCCUUCACAGGGUCCCUUCACCUGUACCUUACUACAUCCUUCAUUGUUUGCAAGAACUAUCCCACAUCUUGCCUGCUUCACAACAUUUGACUGUGCUGGAACGAACACAAGUGAGUGAGUAGCUGCCCACUGUACCCAAUGUGUUCACUAUUUUGUCAGUUAACUCGAGUGUAACAUUCUGCAGAUAAUCUGGGAAGAUACAGGUUAAGGAUCAAGGUUCCUAAGUGACUACAGAUAGGAUUCAGAACUUUAAACUUUAAACUAUCAAAUUGUUUUAUGUAGUGUAUAUAAGGGAAUUAGGAUGUGACAGAUGUGAGAUAUUGGAAGUCUGGAAGUGUCAGAACAUUGUUAUACUGAGGUGUGCCAGAUGUUUUUGUAGGCACUGCGAUUAUUCCUAUUCUUGUAUACAUGUAACACUUAGAUAUCUGUGUGCAUUAGGGAUUGUAUUCUAGCUCCAUGGGGAAUGGUCACUGAGCUUCCACCAGGAACUAAAAUCUGGGGAGUAUAAUUAAUGCAAUUUCUGGGACAGGUAAACAACUCUGGGGAAUCCCCCCAUGCCUCCUGGGAAUUGCCUGUACAGGUUCAGAUUAGGUUCAAGAGGUCCAGCAAACAAAGAGAGGGCUCUAGGUAUAAAUGAUCAGCCUGAACUGGCAGGGGGACCCUCAUUUGAUCCUCAAACUGAUAUGAAAUUGCUUAAAGGAUAGGUAACUUGCCAGGGUCUCCAAGUGGAACACAGUGCCAUGUUUCUCUUUGGUUCCAGGAUGCACACACACCUGCUUUUGCCCUCAUUCCUUAAAGAGGCUUUUUAAUUUGUGCCUUCAGUGAAAAGCUUCUGGGCUCUAAGCAUGUGCCCCCUGGGCUGACUCUAAUGUCCUGACACUGAGUAUGUCUAUGUCUCAGUAGAUAAGAGAUCAGGAGUUGCAAUAUCCCUUAGGGAAUUCAUUUUCAAAUACAGGUGAAAGCCCAUUUCUUUACAGGUAUUAGAGCUUCUAAACCAUAAUGAGAGAGGUUCUGAGACAUUAACAGCUGCAGUAAUCACAGAUGGGUUGUCUGUGAGUCUCCUAGUUUGUUCUUGGGAUGUUGUUGAAGGGGACCUUUGUUUUCAAGUAAGUCAACAUGUGUCUUCCUUAAAUUAAGCUGUGAACCACUCCAAAAUCAAUUCUCUUUAGUUUAUUAUGAAGAAAUGCCCCUCACAGGCAGUGUGGAAUGAGGAAGUAGAAAGCACAAGUUCCCAUCUGUGCUCACAAAUGCCACAGCUGCAAUGUCUUUAAAAGCACAUCCGUUUUAUUUCAAUAUAAACAGAAUGAAGCACUUCUUUUCAGUGUCACGGGGUUGGCAGUGGAUCUCAUUGCAUCCUCUGUGUGGU
Molecule: non-coding RNA, 3433 nt
Organism: Chelonoidis abingdonii (Abingdon island giant tortoise)
Lineage: Eukaryota; Metazoa; Chordata; Testudines; Testudinidae
Source: RefSeq, a predicted model, not a curated record